This 251-nucleotide ribosomal RNA is filed under the name uncultured Staphylococcus sp. RNAcentral describes it as "partial 16S ribosomal RNA". It matches the Rfam family "Bacterial small subunit ribosomal RNA", at positions 89 to 334 of the family's 1533-position model. The record is from RNAcentral. Lineage: Bacteria; Bacillati; Bacillota; Bacilli; Caryophanales; Staphylococcaceae.
ACGUUAGCGGCGGACGGGUGAGUAACACGUGGGUAACCUACCUAUAAGACUGGGAUAACUCCGGGAAACCGGGGCUAAUACCGGAUAACACAUGAAACCGCAUGGUUUCAUGAUGAAAGACGGUUUUGCUGUCACUUAUAGAUGGACCCGCGGCGUAUUAGCUAGUUGGUAAGGUAACGGCUUACCAAGGCAACGAUACGUAGCCGACCUGAGAGGGUGAUCGGCCACACUGGAAAUGAGACACGGUCCAG